Molecule: long non-coding RNA, 696 nt
Organism: Homarus americanus (American lobster)
Lineage: Eukaryota; Metazoa; Arthropoda; Malacostraca; Decapoda; Nephropidae
Exons: 3
Source: RefSeq, a predicted model, not a curated record
AAGGCGCGGCCCAGCGAGCUAGCAUGAGCUUCAGUUUUGUCCAGCCAGUGUUGGUGUUACCGCAACGGCUCCCGGCCACCCGACGCUGCAAGAACAACAAGUGAAGAAUACACAAGGUAAACAACUUGUCUCAUAACGUCUCAAUUAAGAAAACUGUCAAGAACUUUUUUCCCAAGACAUUAAAAUUGAGAAAAAUAAACAGGUCAGAGGAAAAUGAACGUCACUGGACACGUUUUAUGGUGAAUUAAAAAGUUUGGGUAGUGAAUUAUGUGUGAGUGUUAUGAGUAUAGUGUUGAUGUAAAGGUGUAGUGACGGUGAGAAACUACAGUGAGUGACGGUGAGGAGAAACUACAGUGAGUGACGGUGAGGAGAAACUACAGUGAGUGACGGUGAGGAGAAACUACAGUGAGUGACGGUGAGGAGAAACUACAGUGAGUGACGGUGAGGAGAAACUACAGUGAGUGACGGUGAGGAGAAACUACAGUCAGUGACGGUGAGGAGAAACUACAGUGAGUGACGGGACACUAUAGACAGUGAGUGACGGUGAAGAGAAAUUGUAGUGAUAGUGAGUGACGUCGAGUGACUACAGUGAGUGACGCUGGAGGAGGAAGUAACACUACUACUCAAAAUGGAGUUUGGCCUCGACGCUUCUACCCUCCAGCUGUGUGCCCAGGCCAAGGGCCGUGUUGCAGGGUG